Molecule: long non-coding RNA, 373 nt
Filed under: Suricata suricatta (meerkat)
Lineage: Eukaryota; Metazoa; Chordata; Mammalia; Carnivora; Herpestidae
Description: lncRNA (ENSSSUG00005005067.1)
Source: RNAcentral
GGAUUUCACUGUGCUGAACACGGACACUCAUUUAAAAGUUUCCAGGUGCAUAAAAACCAAGAAAAACUAAAGUGAACAACAUGUAUGAACUUUUGACACUAUAAAGCUCACAAAGGAUAAAGGCAGGAAACAAGAAGCAAAUCAGAGCAAGAGAAAUAUUCCUAGUGGAAAGAAAAUGUACUAAGAAAGAAAAGCCAGCUGACCACCCAACAUUAGAGAAGUUGUGAAAGUCACCAAGGCCCAGGAAAUCAGACUGCUCUCAGGACAGCCAUCUCACAACUCAUUGGAUUCCAUUUUGGCUGACUGCAUUUAAGUCCCUUAAACAUUCCUAUAUCAAAGAGCGACAACAGGUAAACUGUAGUAUAAUCUCAAG